GGUUUGCCAUGUAUAUAAUGAGAGGCUAAUUAACAUGAAAAGAACCUACAUAUCAUUUAAGAUGCAGCAACAGAAUAUUGUUUGGUCCACUUGUUUUAUUGUUUCUCAGAACAAGAAAAAUAAAAAAUAGAAUCAAUACAGAACCCACAUAGUUAACUAGCAAUUGAACAUUUUGUCCAGUACACCAUCUAUUCGUGACUCCAGAACUUGGAGCUACAGCUACACUUGUCCAUUUCCUCAACGUGGACGCAUCUAUUGUAUUUAAAGAGGCGUCUAUUGCCGCAUUUUUCAUCUUGCAUUGCUCCAAAAGAUUGAUAGUAACAUACCUGUGUAUAUAUAUUCCAGUAGACAAACUAAUUCGUUUCGUUAUGGUGAAGAUUGAAAGAGUUAAAAGGGUUACCAUAUGGAAGCCGAUGAAGAUUAAAAGGACCAGUGAGAACGAAAUUGCCCAGAUGAAAAAAUCUACAUUGUAGUAGUAUCAUGAUAUUUGUCACCAACAACAUGUUCUAUCAAUUCUCAGAAAAAAAGAUCAUAAAGACAAAUGCAAAAAUAAAUGUAUUGGACCGACCCCAACUGUCUACGAAUGAUCUUGGUUCCAGUAGCAACAUGUACAUUGUGGUUCCAGGAAAAGGCAGCUACAUCUUUGUCCAUUUCAACAGCUUCAGAACAAUCUACACUCAUUUGAGGCCAAAAGAAAAUUUCAAGAGCCAGCACAAAGUUAUCGAUGUAUUAAAUACAAAACGCACAGAACAGUUGAUUUCAUGAUGUGAAACCCAAAAAAAAGAACCCAAAAAAAAAAAAAAAAAACCUUGAGAUACAUCAUGUUAGAGACUACCACAAAUUCUUCCGGGCACUGCUUCGACCUAAUUAACCAAGAUAGAGAACAAAUUAACGGAAAAAGGCCGUACGAAAUUGAAACAGGGACUAGUAAAUAGAAUAAUACAGGGUUAGAAAAACCAGUAACAAAACACUUUCCAGUGAUACAGUGCUCUUCUGUC
RNAcentral lists this long non-coding RNA (998 nucleotides) under Citrus maxima (pomelo). Its description in RNAcentral is "long non-coding RNA (CMAX_LNC002570)". Lineage: Eukaryota; Viridiplantae; Streptophyta; Magnoliopsida; Sapindales; Rutaceae. The record is from RNAcentral.